Molecule: non-coding RNA, 63 nt
Organism: Trichococcus sp.
Lineage: Bacteria; Bacillati; Bacillota; Bacilli; Lactobacillales; Carnobacteriaceae
Source: Rfam
UGUAGUAACAACGAAUAGCGAGAAGUCAGCAGAGGUCAUAGUAGCGAAAAUGUAGCGAAGGAC